This 813-nucleotide ribosomal RNA is filed under the name uncultured fungus. Its description in RNAcentral is "eukaryotic LSU rRNA". It matches the Rfam family "Eukaryotic large subunit ribosomal RNA", at positions 24 to 664 of the family's 3401-position model. The record is from RNAcentral. Lineage: Eukaryota; Fungi.
GCGCGCUGAACUUAAUCACAUCGAUCAGCGGAGGAAUCGUAACUAACGAGAAUUGCCUUAGUAGCUGCGAGUGAAGCGGGAAGAGGUCAAAUUAGAAAUCUGGCGGAUUCGCCAUCCGAGUUGUAUUCUGGAGAAGCGUUCUGCGUGCUGGACGGCGUACAAGUCCCUUGGAACAGGGCGUCGUAGAGGGUGAGAAUUCCCUCUUUGACACGGCCUCCCAGUGCUUUGUGAUGCGCUCUCGAAGAGUCGAGUUGUUUGGGAAUGCAGCUCAAAAUGGGUGGUAAAUUCCAUCUAAAGCUAAAUAUUGGCGAGAGACCGAUAGCGAACAAGUACCGUGAGGGAAAGAUGAAAAGCACUUUGGAAAGAGAGUGAAACAGUACGUGAAAUGGCUAACAUGGAAGGAAUUAGGAUUAGUAUGGAUAUGUGCAUAAGUCACAAUUAUUUAGUAUGUAAUGCUUAAUAUAAUGGCGUGCGGUUCACAUCGUUUCUUAUGUUGGGUAAGUAGUUCUAAAUAGGUGGUAUUUUGUGUCCAUAUUAAUCAACAUGGGUUAACUUAUGUUGGUAGGAUAAUAAUAAGAGGAUGGUAGUAAAUUUAUAUUUAUGCACUCCUCUUGUUUACACUACCUGGUAGGCUAAGGUUUAGCGGGGGUGCCUGAUAGGCAGGGCUAAUAGAGGGUGAAAAUUGAGUUAUCAUAGGCAUUUCGAGUGCAGCUCAUGACGUCUGAUGUGUACUCGUUAUUUGGCUUUACUACGGGAAUCUCUAUGUUAGAUGCUUAUCAAAUGCUCAUAAUAUCAUCCCGUCGUGAAACACGG